AUUGAACGCUGGCGGCAGGCCUAACACAUGCAAGUCGAGCGAGCGGCGGACGGGUGAGUAAUGUCUGGGAAACUGCCUGAUGGAGGGGGAUAACUACUGGAAACGGUAGCUAAUACCGCAUACCAUCAGAUGUGCCCAGCUGGGAUUAGCUAGUAGGUGGGGUAAUGGCUCACCUAGGCGACGAUCACUAGCUGGUCUGAGAGGAUGACCAGCGCCACUGAAACGGAGACACGGUCCAGACGCCUACGGGAGGCAGCAGUGGGGAAUAUGGGACAGUGGGCGUAAGUCUGAUGCAGCCAUGCCGCGUGUAUGAAGAAGGCCUUCGGGUUGUAAAGUACUUUCAGCGAGGAGGCGUUACUCGCAGAAGAAGCACCGGCUAACUCCGUGCCAGCAGCCGCGGUAAUAC
This 406-nucleotide ribosomal RNA is filed under the name uncultured bacterium. RNAcentral describes it as "partial 16S ribosomal RNA". It matches the Rfam family "Bacterial small subunit ribosomal RNA", at positions 30 to 526 of the family's 1533-position model. The record is from RNAcentral.